Molecule: long non-coding RNA, 792 nt
Filed under: Gossypium raimondii (Peruvian cotton)
Lineage: Eukaryota; Viridiplantae; Streptophyta; Magnoliopsida; Malvales; Malvaceae
Description: long non-coding RNA (GRAI_LNC007083)
Source: RNAcentral
AUCCUGGCGGAUACUGUCUUCAAUUGAACAGAAGGAGGAGGCCAAAGGUAAUGAACAAAAUGUGAAGAGGAUAAAGGAUUAUAGGCAAAGGGUUGAAGAUGAGCUCUCAAAAAUAUGCAAUGACAUACUCUCAGUCAUUGACAAGCACCUCAUUCCAUCUUCCUCCACCGGGGAAUCAACUGUUUUCUACUAUAAGAUGUGAGGAUCAUCUUACUUUCGUUUUUGUUUUAUGGGGCGGUUUGAGUGUGAAUAUUUCCUUAUUUGUUGCUUUUUGUGUAACAGGAAAGGAGAUUAUUUUCGUUAUUUGGCAGAAUUUAAGGCAGGAGAUGAUCGUAAAGAAGCUGCUGAUCAGUCACUUAAGGCUUAUGAGGUGCGUUGAAUUCCCUCCAAAUCCUGCUUUUUUUUUUUUUGCUCUUCUUUUACCUUUAAUCAGCCCUCCUCUUAUCCUAUUUUGAUUUUUAUUGUAGGCUGCCACUUCCACUGCAAGCUCAGAUUUGCCUCCAACUCACCCAAUUAGACUUGGCCUGGCUUUGAACUUCUCAGUUUUCUACUAUGAGAUAUUAAAUUCUCCCGAGAGGUUAGAAAUUGUAGGAAUCUUUCUACCCCCUGUUUAUACACAAUCAUGUAACCUACUUCUAAAUUUUCUUUCCAUUGGGGAGAAUGAUCCCAAAGCUAAUUUUUCUUUUCAUUUUGUGGUAGUUUCAGAAAUACUUUCCUUGGUAACCAUUGUUGUUGUUUACUUAUUUUAAUAAUUAUAGAUGGCUAUUAUAUGAGUUCCACUUUAGCAGCUAG